GCCGAAGGGAAACCGAGUCUUAACUGGGCGUUAAGUUGCAGGGUAUAGACCCGAAACCCGGUGAUCUAGCCAUGGGCAGGUUGAAGGUUGGGUAACACUAACUGGAGGACCGAACCGACUAAUGUUGAAAAAUUAGCGGAUGACUUGUGGCUGGGGGUGAAAGGCCAAUCAAACCGGGAGAUAGCUGGUUCUCCCCGAAAGCUAUUUAGGUAGCGCCUCGUGAAUUCAUCUCCGGGGGUAGAGCACUGUUUCGGCAAGGGGGUCAUCCCGACUUACCAACCCGAUGCAAACUGCGAAUACCGGAGAAUGUUAUCACGGGAGACACACGGCGGGUGCUAACGUCCGUCGUGAAGAGGGAAACAACCCAGACCGCCAGCUAAGGUCCCAAAGUCAUGGUUAAGUGGGAAACGAUGUGGGAAGGCCCAGACAGCCAGGAUGUUGGCUUAGAAGCAGCCAUCAUUUAAAGAAAGCGUAAUAGCUCACUGGUCGAGUCGGCCUGCGCGGAAGAUGUAACGGGGCUAAACCAUGCAC
RNAcentral lists this ribosomal RNA (531 nucleotides) under Escherichia coli. RNAcentral's name for it is "partial 23S ribosomal RNA". It matches the Rfam family "Bacterial large subunit ribosomal RNA", at positions 665 to 1194 of the family's 2925-position model. The record is from RNAcentral. Lineage: Bacteria; Pseudomonadati; Pseudomonadota; Gammaproteobacteria; Enterobacterales; Enterobacteriaceae.